This 336-nucleotide unclassified non-coding RNA is filed under the name soil metagenome. Its description in RNAcentral is "partial contains 5.8S ribosomal RNA, internal transcribed spacer 2, and large subunit ribosomal RNA". The stretch from base 1 to 120 matches the Rfam family "5.8S ribosomal RNA", at positions 35 to 154 of the family's 154-position model. The record is from RNAcentral.
GAUGAAGAACGCAGCGAAAUGCGAUAAGUAAUGUGAAUUGCAGAAUUCCGUGAAUCAUCGAAUCUUUGAACGCAUAUUGCGCCCGCCAGUAUUCUGGCGGGCAUGCCUGUUCGAGCGUCAUUUCAACCAUCAAGCCCCAGGCUUGUGUUGGGGACCUGCGGCUGCCGCAGGCCCUGAAAACCAGUGGCGGGCUCGCUGUCACACCGGGCGUAGUAGAUUUUAUCUCGCUCAGGGCGUGCUGCGGGUUCCGGCCGUUAAAAAGCCUUUUUUACCCAAGGUUGACCUCGGAUCAGGUAGGAAGACCCGCUGAACUUAAGCAUAUCAAUAAGCGGAGGA